RNAcentral lists this ribosomal RNA (498 nucleotides) under uncultured bacterium. Its description in RNAcentral is "partial 16S ribosomal RNA". It matches the Rfam family "Bacterial small subunit ribosomal RNA", at positions 30 to 523 of the family's 1533-position model. The record is from RNAcentral.
AUUGAACGCUGGCGGCAUGCUUUACACAUGCAAGUCGAACGGUAACAGGCCGCAAGGUGCUGACGAGUGGCGAACGGGUGAGUAAUGCAUCGGAACGUGCCCAGUCGUGGGGGAUAACUGCUCGAAAGAGCAGCUAAUACCGCAUACGAUCUAUGGAUGAAAGCGGGGGACCGUAAGGCCUCGCGCGAUUGGACCGGCCGAUGUCAGAUUAGGUAGUUGGUGGGGUAAAGGCUCACCAAGCCAACGAUCUGUAGCUGGUCUGAGAGGACGACCAGCCACACUGGGACUGAGACACGGCCCAGACUCCUACGGGAGGCAGCAGUGGGGAAUUUUGGACAAUGGGGGCAACCCUGAUCCAGCAAUGCCGCGUGCAGGAAGAAGGCCUUCGGGUUGUAAACUGCUUUUGUACGGAACGAAACGGUCUGGGUUAAUACCCUGGGCUAAUGACGGUACCGUAAGAAUAAGCACCGGCUAACUACGUGCCAGCCGCCGCGGUAA